CUCGCUCUGAUCACCAGCUCCAGGAUUGAAGAGAGGACGGACUGAUACAGAGAAUUUGGUUUUAAUGGUCAGGAGAUGUUUUCUCUCUGUGACGUUGUAAAAUGACAGCUGACCUUCAUCAUAAUUCAACAGAACUCCCAGUCGCUCAGGUCUCGGAGUCAGAGAGAGUUUAACUGAUGGAGUAGUGUUGAUGUGAAAGCCACUAGGACCGUCUGAACACAAGAACCAGAAACCAGCUGAUGGAGUUAAAGCAGAUCUGUCUCUU
Long non-coding RNA from Carassius gibelio (silver crucian carp), 265 nucleotides. RefSeq lists it as uncharacterized. The transcript is spliced from 2 exons. The record is from RefSeq and is a predicted model, not a curated record. NCBI's taxonomy places the organism in Eukaryota, Metazoa, Chordata, Actinopteri, Cypriniformes, Cyprinidae.